GAUUUGGCUUUAUCGAAGACCAUGUACUUAUGUCUAGAAACAAUUAUGUGGUUCAAAAGGAAGCCAACAGCAAUUUUUGUCACGACGGUCACUGAAUGUCUUGAUUUUUUGUGAUACUUCAGUAACACAUACGUGCAAUUACAAUA
This is a small nucleolar RNA of Anastrepha obliqua, 146 nucleotides long. Lineage: Eukaryota; Metazoa; Arthropoda; Insecta; Diptera; Tephritidae. The record is from RefSeq and is a predicted model, not a curated record.